Harpia harpyja (harpy eagle) is the source of this 3571-nucleotide long non-coding RNA. RefSeq lists it as uncharacterized. The transcript has 2 exons. The record is from RefSeq and is a predicted model, not a curated record. Lineage: Eukaryota; Metazoa; Chordata; Aves; Accipitriformes; Accipitridae.
UCAAGUUUUUAUGUUUUAUUUCCUGAUUUGUAAUCAUUUGCAUAAGCAAUGCUUACUUCACUGUGUAAUACAGUAUAUGCGUGAGUUCAAUGUCUUUUUAUGCAUUUCACCCUACAGUAUGUUUGAAAUAGUAUAUGUUGAGGAUUUCUGUAUUAUGAGAUGGAGUUUUAUUUUGUAUUUCUGGUCAACUUUUCUAAUUUGUGUUUCUGUUUCAAGCUGUGAGCAGGAUAUUUAUAUACGCUUUCUUAGGCGACUUAUCUGAUAGAUGGCUUUUGAUCUUAUUUUCCAUUUUUUCUCUUUAACUGAACUUAAAGCCACAUAUAGUAAGAAAGUGAAGAUGACAUUUUUCCAAGUGACUAUUGUUAGUGCUAAGAGUGUAGGGCCAGAUUGUUUUAUGUACCUGAUGACACCAGUGCAGAAAUUGGUUCUGAAGCGGUCUUAGCAGUGAAAAGAGAAUUUAAGGAGUGUCUCAGUACCACUUGGGUUUAAGUGCUUUCUAAUCAUGUAUUUUUAAAAAGAACUGAAAUCGUACAAGCAACCACAGGCUGGCUGCAGUUCAACUGCUGGCUGUUUGCACUGCUGAUGGAAUUUUUCCCAAAGGGUAAGGGCAGUUCACACACACACAAACACAAGGUGUGCACAAGAUAUGUGAGCUGGCUCUCCGUGAGUUUUGAUCAUUUAAAGAUUUGCAGUUACACAGCUAACUGUUAAAUAGAAAGGUAUUCUUGAGGAAAUGCAUGAGUCUCACACAUGUAAUCAUUCCACUUCAGUUUCUAGUGGCUACAGAUAUUUUUCUGUCAUGAAUUCCAUUUCUCAAACUUCAUUGACACAUAUACAUCAUCUUGUUUUCAUAUGGACUUUAAUGACCCUGUUUGCACUAUUAAGCCCUUCAUCUUCUCAAGUGUCAUGUAUGUGAAGAGGUCCAAAAUGUGGAUGAGAUUUAGCUUAGUACAUGCUUUCAGAGACCUUCAACAAUUUGAACAGAUGGCCAAAAAUAUUUUUGAUUAAGAACUACUUAAUUCAUUCACCUUUGUCAAGAGGAAACCUUGUGAAUAAAUAAGAGUAAGGUCGAGACUGUUUUUCAAAGCUACCCUGAAGUAUUUGAGGCUUUUUUUCUCCCUAAACUACAUGGAGAUUAUACAACCAUGAUCUAGUAGAAAUCUCAGCUUGUAUUGUUUCUUAGAGCUGUAAACUCUUCAGGAAGAAUCUGCGUCAUCACUGAGUUCCUUGGGUUCUGUCAGUAUUAAAAAUAACUGCAAUGGGCACCUUCAGUAGGUAUACACGUUUAAUUACAAAAGCUGAAUAGUUUUGCAGUAGACUGGCAUGAUUCUUGUAGAGGUUCCCUUUGUUUCACAAUACAGGAUUUAUUCUAAGAAAAACACUGAAAUCAGUGCAGAUAUUUACAUCGUCAGGGAUUUUGUCCCAGGCAUGUAUUAUACUCUUGCAUUUGAACUGGAAAAGACAGCAGUUCAUUAUGAUAGCAAGGUUUGGGGAUUUGUUCUUUUCUUUACCGGCACCAUGUCUGUCUUGCAGAUUCUAAGUUACCAGAGCAGUGAUGGAGCCAGGUGCUGAGAUGCGUAGUGUGUUUUUUGCAGCUUAGAGCUCAGUGACUAUUUCUGGAGCAUUUUAGUUGUACGCUGAAGUAAUUAUUUCAGCAUUUUGAGGUUGAGGUACCUUAUCUUCUGUGGGAUCCAUGACCUUUCAGGAGGGCAGGAGACCUCCACACUGGAACUGUCAGAGCCCCCUGGGAGCCUUGGGGGGCUGAUUCUCCUGGCUCUGUUGUGAUAGAUCAAAACAGUUUUGAUACUUUACAAAACCCAAUUUCUCUACACAUGGAGGAACCAGUUUUCCAAAAAGCAAUAGACCAGCCAUCUCUGCCUCCUAAAUACUAUGUUAUUAAAAUAACAUUAUUACCUAAUGAGCUAACUAUUGGCAUUUUUCUUCUUUUUCAAUAUGAAGUUUUCCAGGUGCUGUGUUUAUGCCAAGAGGUACUUAAUACAAACCAUCUUUUUCAUUUCUAGCCAUUAAAUAACAAUAAUGCAAUAGAACAAACCUGCUGUUUCCUGUUGCUUCCUGUGUUUGUAUUUUGCGCUUGACUCUUGACAUAAGAAGCCACCCUUGUUUAUGUAUCAUCAGUUUCACUGGAUUUUCAUAAUUCAUUUCACUUUGGCAUUUACAUGUUCUUGCAGUUUACUUUAGGUGUUACUCUAGUCCACAUUAUCAUAGUGUCUGGGUGCUUGUGUAGUUGCUUUGGGAUUCCAUCUCAAGAGGGGAAUUUUUGAAUUGCCCAAAACUGGUUUUUUUGAUCUUUGGAAAACAUUAAAACAUUUAUUUUCACACAUUACUUCUCCUAUGCAGAAGAUCUGUACCUCACCAAAAUUCCACUCACCUCCUCAUGUAAGUGCUAAAUUUAGAAGUAAAUAGUAUUCAGAUCUCUUUUGUAGGGCUGUCUGCAUGGCUGAAUUUCAUUAAUUAUAUUUUGAUGAAUACGUUCUUUUAAAUGCAGAUCUAACCUUCCCUCAAAUCUUAACAUAAUACAAAGCAACAUUGUAAUACAGAAACACACCUCUAUGUACAAAUACAAGCAUUAUAAUUUCCUUCCAGGUGUUUUCUGUGUUCUCACAGAGCUCUCUUGAGCACAGGAAGAAAUGCUCCUAGUGAUGUUCAACAGUACAGUCACUUUAAAUAUGCUCUCUUUCCAGUGAUGUUACCACCAUACUGCAUGGCCAUCACAUGAUAGAUGUUAGCUCAUUAUUGAGGAAAUAUUCCUCUACAGAAGCAGCUUAAGGGAUUUCAUUUAGGUGCUUCUGCACCUUCUGCAUAACAGUUGCCAUUUCUGGAAUAACCUUCUCCAACAGACUUCAACAUACCAACCAAGUAGGAGUAGGUAUCUUUCUCUCCUGAGUAACCUGGGCAGGCGUUUACAAGUCUUUAAGCCUCACAUUGCUGGUAAGUGAACUUCAGCAUACCAGCUAAUUUUAGAAGACCAAUGUUCAUUACAUAAAGGGAAUACAGUUCUGUAAAUUUAUAUAUACACUAGGAAAGUGCAUUACUAAUUUAUUGAUUCUGCAGAUCCAAAAUAUAUGCACUUCAAGCAGCAGUCCUCCAAGGAAAAAAGAUCCAAAUUGUAAAUACAGGAACACCUGCUGCUGCCCUUACAUUGCAGUUACCCCUGUGGGUAACCCAUUACCUAUCAGUCUUUGAAACUGCUUAUUUACACCUCACCCAUCACGACUAUUCCUUGUAGAGUAUAGGCCAGUAAAACUUACUAGCAGCAGUGGUUUCCUGUCUCAUUUCUUUAGGGACUUUCUUUUCAAGAUUUUUUUCUUAAACAGGACAAGUGGUUUCAGAGAGUGGGCAAAAAAGGCUAUACCUUACCUUGUUGAUCAUGGAGAAAUUUGUACCUUAGGAAGACUUCAUGGGCAUGGAACCUAUAUUCAGAUUUGGAAAGAAUAUUCCCUAAGAAAGAGAGAAGAGGAUCCAGGACAUUUCUUCUUUUCCUUUUAAAAAUUGCCGAAAAACUACUAAAUAAAUUAUUUCUGUUUCUCAAAAUAAACAGUUUGCUACCUGC